This 253-nucleotide ribosomal RNA is filed under the name uncultured bacterium. RNAcentral describes it as "partial 16S ribosomal RNA". It matches the Rfam family "Bacterial small subunit ribosomal RNA", at positions 524 to 776 of the family's 1533-position model. The record is from RNAcentral.
GACGAAGGGGGCUAGCGUUGUUCGGAAUUACUGGGCGUAAAGCGCGUGUAGGCGGUUGUUCAAGUUGGAUGUGAAAGCCUUGAGCUCAACUCAAGAAAUGCAUUCAGGACUGAAUGACUAGAGGACCGGAGAGGAUAGUGGAAUUCCCAGUGUAGUGGUGAAAUACGUAGAGAUUGGGAAGAAUACCAGUGGCGAAGGCGGCUAUCUGGACGGUUUCUGACGCUAAGACGCGAAAGCGUGGGGAGCAAACAGG